RNA transcript from Sinocyclocheilus grahami, 3203 nucleotides. It is a transcript of the gene named integrator complex subunit 6-like, with no coding region annotated. NCBI's taxonomy places the organism in Eukaryota, Metazoa, Chordata, Actinopteri, Cypriniformes, Cyprinidae. The record is from RefSeq and is a predicted model, not a curated record. The transcript has 19 exons.
AGUGUGAGGAGAAUCAUGGACGUAAACUAAACAGAAAGUUACCAUGAUAAAAGUUAGGCAUUUCUUUCAAAUUACAGCAACAACACUCGUUUCCCUUGUAAAUCAACAACCUUUCCCCCCCAGGGUCUGAGGUUUGCUUAAGUUUACAAGGCAUCGCUCUUUCAACACUAACUACAGUUACACUCUGACAGAAAGAAUGCGCGAGUCAGUUAGCAUUAGCCGGCUAGCAGCGUGCUGACAGCAGCGACAGGAGGCGAACAAAAGAUUGCUCUGCAUUUGUCAGCUUGCACUGACAUCCGGUCCAUGUAGAAGGGGCGAUUAUCACCACAAUGCCCGUGUUACUUUUCCUGAUAGACACGUCCGCCUCCAUGAACCAGCGCUCCCAUCUGGGCACUAGCUAUCUGGACAUAGCGAAGGGCGCAGUUGAGACUUUCCUGAAGCUGAGGAGCAGAGAUCCGGCCAGCAGGGGAGACAGAUACAUGUUAGUGAGUUUCGAGGAAGCACCGGCUGGAAUUAAGGCUGGAUGGAAGGACAGUCACGCCACUUUUAUGACUGAGCUGAGGAACCUGCAAGCAGUUGGAUUGACAUCAAUCGGCCAGUCUUUACGGACCGCUUUUGAUUUGCUCAAUCUCAAUAGAUUAGUUUCCGGGAUAGACAACUAUGGACAGGGUAGGAACCCUUUUUUCUUGGAGCCUGCUAUCGUUGUGGCCAUAACUGAUGGCAGCAAGCUGACCAGCAGUUCUGGUGUACAAGACGAGUUACAUUUGCCCCUGACAACACCGUUGCCUGGCAGUGAGCUGACCAAAGAGCCCUUCCGAUGGGACCAGCGACUCUUCUCUUUAGUGCUCCGCAUUCCAGGCCACGCCUCUCCUGACCCUGAACCAAUAGGUGGAGUUCCACUUGACCCAUCCCCUAUUACGCCCAUGUGUGAGGUCACUGGGGGCCGUUCAUACAGCGUAUUUUCCCAGAGAAUGCUGAACCAGUGUCUGGAGUCUCUGGUGCAGAAAAUCCAGAGUGGUGUGGUCAUUAAUUUUGAGAAGACUGGACCUGAUCCUCCACCUACUGAAGAUGGCCCAAUAGAAAUGAAGUAUGGACCUCAAUCAUGGCACAGCUGUCAUAAGAUGAUCUAUGUCAGACCCAACCCUAAAACCGGUGUUCCUGUUGGUCAUUGGCCUAUCCCGGAGUCAUUUUGGCCUGACCAGAACUCUCCUACUUUGCCUCCACGUGCAGCUCACCCGCAGGUGAAGUUUUCAUGUGUUGAUUCGGAGCCCAUGGUGGUGGAUAAAGUGCCCUUUGACAAGUACGAACUAGAGCCUUCUCCGCUCACUCAGUACAUACUGGCAAGGAAAUCACCACACACCUGCUGGCAGGUUUUUGUGUGUAACAGUGCUAAAUACGGAGAACUCGGGCAGCCGUUUGGUUAUGUGAAGGCCAGCACAGCUCUUAACUGUGUCAACCUGUUUGUCAUGCCCUAUAACUACCCUGUGGUGCUGCCUUUGCUUGAUGACUUGAUUACUGUGCAUAAGUUCAAGCCUCCAGCAAAGUGGCGACAAUCUUUUGAGAACUAUCUUAAAACAGUCCCACCCUACUAUAUCACUGCCCUGCGGAAAGCACUAAGAAUGAUGGGAGCUCCAAACCUGUUGGCUGACAACAUGGAGUGCGGUCUGAGCUAUAGUGUUGUGUCUUAUCUCAAAAAGCUCAGUCAGCAAGCAAAGAUCGAGGCAGACAGAGUUUGUGCAUCAGUAGGAAAAAAGGCAGCACUUGAAGGUGGGAUUAAACUUCGCUGCAGAAGCGCCGCCCUCUCUCUGGCACACAGGAAGGAUUUCACGCAGCUGUUGAACAGUAUCAUGGGAGAUGGGCCAGCUCUGCCAAUGGAGGCAAACACCAAGGAGUUUGCUGGCUUUCAACUAGCUGCUCUGAAUAAAGCAUUUAAACCGCAAGGACUGCGGAACCCCUAUGAUAUCCCAAGAUCUCAUCUGCUAGACCAGCUGAGCCGCAUGAGGCGGAACCUUCUGCACGCCAGCAUCUGUAUUCUGAAAGGUCAAGAUCAAGAUCAGCUGCACAGUAUUCCUAUAGCUCAGAUGGGCAACUAUCAAGAUUUCUUGAAGCAUUGCCCAUCCCCUCUGAGAGAAGCAGACCCCGAUCAGCCUAAACGUUUGCACACCUUUGGUAACCCCUUCAAAUUGGACAAGAAGGCAAUGAUGGUAGAUGAGGCAGAUGAAUUUGUUACUGGCACUCAAGGCAAAGGCAAACGUCCUGGAGAAUCAAGCAGUCCUGCUGGGGGCGGGGCCCCCAAACGCAGACGCUGUAUGUCUCCUCUGCUUCGGCUGGGACGAGCAUAUACACCUCCCAAAACACCACCUAGAAAUCCAGAUAAUGAUGAGACCGAAUUGGGCAAUCACAUCAACAACCAUCUCGAGUCAUACCGCAACUCGGACAAGGAGCCGAGUCCUGCACUCGAGUCUGAACUGAUCCAGCAGAGGAACCUCCUUCAGCUGGAUGAGGUCGAGAAACAGGAAAACAGAGUGCAGGAGAACGGCCAGUCCAGCGAUAGUGAGUUUUCUCUGGGCAGCGAGGGUGAAGAGGAGGCCCCACACCGCUACCCUUCCCCCUGCCAACUGAAGAAGAUCAGAAACCAAGAGAGCCAGGAACUGAACUCUGAACUCCGAGUACUCAUCACCAAGGAGAUCAGGAAGCCUGGCAGACGUUAUGAGAAAAUCUUCUACCUCCUCAAGCAAAUCCAGGGCAGUUUGGAAACGCGUCUGAUCUUUCUGCAGAGCAUAAUCAAAGAGGCUGCCAGGUUUAAGAAAAGGGUCUUAAUUGAGCAGCUGGAGAACUUCUUGGAGGAGAUUCACUUAAGAGCCAACAGCAUGAAUCAUCUGGACGGUUUCUGAGCACUCCAUCUGUCCUACUUGAAGGACUCGCGCACAUAUCUGCACUAUUUAUGUAAUGUUAUAAUAAAGCAACUAAAUCAGCAAUAUUCUACACCAAUAAAAAGGUGAGUUACCAAGCAAUUCUUUAAAGUUGGAGGUUUGAGUGACUUGGAGGUUUUGUAAUUAUAUGUAGACUUGCACACUCCAAAAGUCAAUUGUUCUUUGUUAUAUAACUCAUCUCAGGAAUGAUGUUGCAGAAGAUUUGGCAGCAGUGGAACAUCUUUCUGGAAUUUUGUUUUCCCAAUAUUCUUAAAAAGCUCUUUCUCGUUU